This 351-nucleotide ribosomal RNA is filed under the name Triticum aestivum (bread wheat). RNAcentral's name for it is "partial small subunit ribosomal RNA". Lineage: Eukaryota; Viridiplantae; Streptophyta; Magnoliopsida; Poales; Poaceae. The record is from RNAcentral.
AUGGCUCGCCCCUACCACCUGACCCUCCUCUCCGUCUUUUCCUUCCUGCUCCUCACUGGCCUUGUGACUGCUGAUCUGUCCGGAGAGAAUAAAGUCGGGAAGAUUGUGACCAUGACCGUCCAGUACCCGGCCGCGGGCUCACCGCCGGGGGAGAAGACCACGAUCUCAGCGCACUACGUUGACGAGAACGGAGGCGGCGACCGCCGCUUCAACCUCGACUGUGACGAUGACGAGCCUAAAUUUCUAGCUAAGAUUACAAUCGAUCUGCAGCCUCGGUUUCGCCAUGAAGUACCUUAUCACGACCCUGGAGGGGAUACGAGAUACGCGGGAGUCUCGAUCCGAGGUAACUAA